Non-coding RNA from Pelobates cultripes (western spadefoot toad), 631 nucleotides. The record is from the annotation of a GenBank genome assembly. Lineage: Eukaryota; Metazoa; Chordata; Amphibia; Anura; Pelobatidae.
UUUGCUGUGCAUGCACAUUAGCACCCACUCACCAUGGGCUGUCAGAAGGGGCGGAGCCAGGACACAGUUUCCGAGGGACAGAGGCACUGGGAAAAGGUGAGUAAAUACCAGGUGGGGGUGUGAGGGAGGGGGGAGACAGCGGUAGCGAUAGUGCCAGGAAUACAGCUUUGAAUUUCUGGAACUUUAGUAUCCCUUUAAUACAAAUGUACAAAAUGAAUUCAGAAAAAGUGUCAAUAGUUACUUCACUAGUCAAACAUCUCUAACCAUGGCAAUGGGCUUUCACACUCUGCUUUACUGACGAGUUUUAAUGUUUUUUAGUGUUUUUUUGUUAGUUUGUUUUUCAGUUUGGUUAUCCCAUCAUUAUUAUGUUAUUGUCUAAAAUCCAUGUAGAAAAAUGCAAUAUUUCUUAAACAGACUCCCCCUCUUUUUUUUUAAAUUCUUAAUUGUUUCUGAUUUUUUAAAUAUGCGUAGGUGUGAGCAAGGUAUACAAUAUAAUCAUCAGUGGUAAAAAAGAGUUUAACAAUAUAUCAAAUACAAGGGUUACAGAAAGCAGUGAGGUCAUAUGUUAUACAGUGUAAAUAUUGUUAGUCGAGGGGUCUGUUGUUUUCUGUUAUAUACAUUGCAAAACACA